This 85-nucleotide transfer RNA is filed under the name Coriobacteriales bacterium. RNAcentral describes it as "tRNA-Leu". It matches the Rfam family "tRNA". From Rfam's summary of the family: Transfer RNA (tRNA) molecules are approximately 80 nucleotides in length. The record is from RNAcentral. Lineage: Bacteria; Bacillati; Actinomycetota; Coriobacteriia; Coriobacteriales.
GGGGGUGUGGCGGAAUCGGCAUACGCAGCGGACUUAAAAUCCGUCGCCGCAAGGCUUGAGGGUUCGAGUCCCUCCACCCCUACCA